GAUUUUUGCGGUCCUAUCUGGGUGGUGAGGUGACUCCUUGAAAUAGCCGAUAGGAAACCGAGACUGUUACGUAAAGGACGGGCUCUGUGAAAGCCAAGGGGCAGGUAGGCAAAAGUGUUGACCCAUGCAGACCCGGUAACUUCGCGUACGGACUAAGAAUUGGCAUAUGCCGGUUAAUGGAUGCAAGAAGUAAAACAGUUCCUCACAAGAAGGAGUCGAAGUUCAAAAGAAAAAGAAAGAAGCAGAAAGAUCGUAAAUGCGAUCCCGCAGGAAGAAGGGUUUUAAUUGAGCCCUGAUCUCUACUUGUAUUCAGUGGACUGCUCAUUAAGAAAUGGAUGUCUCUUGAUGGCAGCAAUUAUCCCUGGUAACCUUAAUGAGCUUGUUACAUUCCUUUGUAAUUGUUAUAAAAAGUUAUAUGAAACAUUUUGCUUAAUACUACCCAGCUCCAGGGGAAAUUGCUUUUCAAACCAAAUGAUUGUUCUUUUCAUGUUUCUUGUGUAUGCAUUCCUUUUCUACUCCUUCGGCAGCCCCCUGCCGUAGGCAACAGGUGCACCGAAAGCACAUCAGUGGCUAAAACUACUUCCUGUGGCUUAACACUGAAUUCAGGAAGCAAAAUUCAUAUGAUGUGGGAACUUUGCAGCAGCUACUGUUAAACUCUGGUCACAGAGUCCCUUCCAGCAAGACACAUAAUGGGUAGCAGCCAAAGACUCCUGGUUCUGAAAAGCAUUCAGGGAUGAUCUGAUUUUUCUGACGCUAAAUCCAAAGGAAGGCUUAGAAACAUUCUCCACGUGAGCAGCCAAAGCAGUUAAGUGCAGCAGCUUUCCAAUCACCCUCUUCUUACUGAGCUAAUUCAAACGUGUUAAAGCACAGCACUUAGGGGAUCUUUCAACAAAACUUGUUUGAUAACAGUCAGUUUGUUGAAAAAAGCUAUUUAUGGAAAUUGUUUCUGAGGUAACAUUUCAAGAACAAAGAUGGCAUUUCCAGCCAAAACCAGCAGGUCAGAAGAGCUGGUCUGAUAGCUCAGCAACGUAACAUGACUUGCAGAGUUGGAAUUUGUGUCUGGACUCUUAGGUUGCCAAGCAGCCUUGCACAUGGGCUCAUCAGCUACUCUGCAGUGCCUUAGCUGCUCUGCCUUCGCAUAAAAAUAAAUGUGAGAGCUUCGGUUUGUUAUUGUCAAACAGAAUUCUCAUCUUCUUUCUGUCUGUGCAGCAGUAAGCUGCUCCUCCUGGUCCACCUGAGCUUCCUCAGCUGCAACCUGCAGCUGCUGCCAUGUCUGCAGCCACCACAGAGGCUUUGCUUCAUAAUCCUCCUCCAAGCAGCUGCGACUUGGACCAUCCAGCUGAUGGCUAGCAGUUUGAAGCAAGCCACAAUUCAGCCAUUUGUCUGUUUCCAGAAGUCUAUAUUGACAACUAUGUCAGCAGCAAGAGCAGCACCACUUGGAACAUGUCUGACCAACAUCAACAAGCAGCCCUCAGUGCUGCUGUUUAGUACAAUGCAAUUAUUUGCAAGUAAGAUUUUGUACCUACAAAUACCAGAAGACACCUAGUUAAUACCACAGAAUGUAAACCUCAGAAGAAAUGCGCAGUACGGGCUCACGGAUGCUUUUAAGAACCUAACAUUUAUUCUUGAAAAGUUUUGAGGUUCAGAUUUAUAGCCUUCACCUGACAAUAGCAGUGUCUUGAACAUUUUCCUUUUCAAAAUGCACCGAAUGCGUAGACUUCAGUAAAAAAAAAAAAUUUAUUUUCAAUAUAAAAGUGCCAAAAUAUCCACCAACAUUGUAAUCUAUUCAACAACCAGCUUACUCUAGUAAUCAAAAUUGCAGGCAUCUUUAUUCACAUUUUUAAAUCAAAUUCCUUUCACACAUUUCCGCAGUAACCCGAGUCCCUCGAAAGUGGGAAAUUUGGAUUUCGGUUGGCUGCUGUAGUCCAUAUGUCCAAGUUCAUGUAGGCACGGAACGGGUUAAACCUCGGAUAGUAUUCCUGCUUACACAUAACAGCUUGGUUCUCAACAUGGGUUGAGUGUUGGGUCGUGGCACUGACAGGGCAGCAGCUUUCAUAAACAUCACUCUGCGGUGCCCAGAUGGAACCAAAAAGUCCAGACAUUGGAGACAAGCUUCGGGUGUUCGAGAGGUAGGGCUGCAGAACAAGAUAAAAGUAUCAGGGGAGCUGCAGAACAGCCCGCUCAAAGAAAGCAUGGAAGUGUACUAAGUGGGAGGAAGCAACAUUUAUGCAAAGAACAUUGAAAACUUGCAAGUUGAAAAUUAAAUAAGCUGACAAGGCAGUAAGGUUGCCCAAAAAAAGAUUACAGCAGCAUUAGCAUGCUCUCUGCAUGGCACCAAUAUCACUGUAGCAAGAAUACAGUAUUUAGUUCUGGCUGGGUUAUUAAGAAAUACAAGGGAUAAACAGAUGAUGUAAAGAGCAUCACACAUGGUUUGGAGAGUUAAAACUAAAACAGAAGGAUGCCUAAGAAAUGACGAGGAAAAGGUUGAUGUAUGUAUCAGUAAUGAAAGAUCAUGCACACAAGCAAAAAUGGAUAUUCAGUAUGGAAAAGAGAAUCCAACUGGGAGCUAGGGAGUUUAGGUAGAAAAAUUUCGAAAGCUUAUGAGGAAUCUCCUGAAGAGCAAGAUGUAUUAGUCUGCAAGGAAACCUCUCAGAAAGGUCAUGGAAGUCUUGGGACUUUUAAAAUUGAAUGAAACACUGAAAUGUACUGUAGUGAAUAGUUUGCCAGGGAAAUGAACCGAAUUAUUCAAUGUAUUUUCCAAUCUCUACCUUCUGUGUUUCCUGGCAUUCUUGAAUAGAAUAUGAAAUAAAGCUGCAUCUAUUUAAGGAAACAGUCUUCUACCAGUUUUGCUACUUUUUAAUUUGAGUAGAAUUUUCAGUUCUGCAGUUAGAAAUAUUUAUCGCUUUAUUUGAAUAUUUUUAUUCAAAACAAACGUAUUACAAAUGUAGUAAAAAAAAUCUAUAAGAUAUUGAAAUCUGAGCUGAAGAAAAUGUAGUUGCAAGUAAAGACUGCCUGGAACUGAGGUGAGCCACACAUUGCACUGUGGGAUGACACAGACGUGGCUAGUCCAGACAGUUAGAGGUCAAAGUCAACACUCAGAAAUCUACACAAAUCCAGCUUAAAUCACUUGGAUUUCCCAGAAGAAAAAAAAAAAAAGAAAAAAAAACCUGUCAAAGUCACCGAGAGCAGCUGUCCGUUUAGCCCUACCAUUUCCAAAUCUCCGGGUUUUGCUGUCAGCACUUUCUGUAUUCUACCCUCAUCUGGAAAGGCUGAUUUGGAUGGGAAAAAGUCUCAGUAGACUAUGCAAGUCCAAAAUAUUUUUCCAUAUGUAAGAUGAUUUUAGUCAAUUUGCAGGCAAAAAUGAUCCAUCUUAGAGUUUUAUAGACAAAGCUCAGGAACAACCUUGACCAACAACUGGGAGAAAUCCAUGCUACCAACACCAACGUCAAACACACGUCAGGCUACUUAAAGGAAAUAUGAGCAACAUGCAAGCAGUAGGUGAGGGCAAGGCAGGUACACACUUUUCAAGUGGCAUAAGAAAGCAGCGCCUGGCAGUGGCAAUACUCACUGUGGAGUUGACAUAACUGGCAGGCUCCCAGGUAGGUGGCAUGUUGUGUGGCGCAUUCCAGGUGGAGGUGCAGCUCUGGUCAAUGAAGGCUGUGUUCUGCAUUGCAGCUGUGCCUGGGAAGCCGUUGGAGUAGUUCAUGUUUUCUGCAGUUUAUAAAACAGGGAAGAGAAAAUAAGGCUUUUGCCUUAUUUAAUUUUGAACAUUCUUGGAGCAAGACAUGCAAGAACCAAGCUCAGCUUUUGGUGACUUUAGGCAGCUUCCAGGCAGUGCAGCAGCAAAGCAUAACAACUUGUGUUAACAAGACUACCAUUUUGUUCUAGGGACCCAGUAACAAACCUCUGUCAGGAGAAUGGGAUAAAGAGUAGGCAAUCUCUUUACUGGAGAAAGCAGUCUUUAUUAGCUGCAGAACGUGCAUGGCAGAGUCUACCUUGGCUUCACUGCCAAUAUACCUCAACUCUAAGCACCCCAGAGAUUACCCUGCUGCCUGUGAUACUGUAGCCUGAUCUUUAAUUACUGCUUAGGUAAUACUAAAGAAUUUUAGGUUCUUGCCAGAGUGUGUCCCAAGCCAAGAAACUCUAGCCUGCAAACGUAAUUGGUCACAAGAGGCCUUCUGUUUCACACACACUGGAAAGCAAGCCAGAGGAGAAACAAAGAAAAUUGUGCAAAAAAGAAUUGUGUAAUACUGUGAUCACAAGCAUUUUUCUCUAUUCCCUCUCAGACCAAGUCCUGAAUUUUCAGGCUUAAUGAUUCUAUACAAAAAUUGGCUUUCUCAUCUACCACAUGUAGACAGUGCUUUUUUUUUCCUAUAGAGUACCCAGUCAGCUGGAAAGUAUAAACUUCAAACACCCAGAUGCUUAUAGACAAGCUCAGCCUUUUGUUUUAUAAGUUAGGUUAGAGAAAAAACAUGCUCAGUGAUAACUUUUUUACUUCAUCUUACCUUCUGGAAUAGCACCAUAUUCGUUCAUCUCAAAUGGACAAUACACGUUGGAAAACUGGCUGUCACAAGUUGCGUUCCAGUCAAUGAAGCUGUCCCAAGAAAAAGAAAAAUGUGCUGUUAGAAACAAUUUGCAGAACUUCUGAAAAUUAUUUAGACAUACUUAUUCACUGUAAAGCUAUCGGGUGUAAAAUGCCUGUAACUGAUGAGGCUUUUCACAUUCUGCUUGCCAUACAAAUCCUGCCAGCACAUAAUCAUGGCAAUCCUCUCACUGAACUCUUUAUUCCCCCUGGGAGGAUGAACAAAUUGUAGUUACAGCUACCAGAGUUCUGCAACACCUUGUGGGAUUCAACUUCUUCCUCCACAAAAAGAAAAUAAUCAGAUUUCUUUCCCACAGGCACAGAAGUGGUAGAUAGAAAGUAAAAUACCAUGAUUUGAUGGGGGAGGGGGGGGGUAAAGAUGCAAUGCAUUCUUUAGCAUUUCUAUGCAGAGCACUCUGUAAGGGGAUUUGUACUUCACCCACCACAGGUUUCCUAAACUAUGCAUGCUUAGUGUAGGGAUCAUAGUGUAGGGAUCAUACUUGUUUCCAUUCAAAUAAUUGAAGUAUUUCAAGAAGACUUUCAAGAGUAAUUCUUAAAGAUUCGACUUCGAGAGCAGACUGCCAGCCAUUACUCCAAAUCAUCAGGGCUGCAGUCUGUAGACAUGACAGUUUACAGUUGAGGUUAGCAGCCUGGUUGGGAUCACAUCAUCAUCAUUUGGGGAUUUGUGUUACCCACUCUUUCAUUUUGGAUGACAGGAUAUGACUUGAACUGAAGGCAGAUACCUGUAUAUGAGUAGGAACACCAGUGAGUUUGUAUGAGCUAAGUUAUGACAUACUAAUGAAAAAAACAUGAAAAACUAGGGGAUUGAAGCAAUGGCAUGAAUUAUAAUGUUUGCAAGGAAGAUGAUAGUUAAAAAUGAGCUCAAGUGCACUCCUCUGCACCACAGAAAACCUUAACAAAACAUAACUUGCCUGUUGUGGAUCGGAGGUGUUUCCUGGAUCAUGCAUGGCAGAUUAUUCUCAAGGUUGUAGUUUAAACUGUUUGUCAGGCAGACAGGCUGGGGAGGCCACAAGUCUCCUGCUGGGUAAAGACCUAAGCAGGGAAAAGAGAAUGACAUGCAAAACAGGAAGGAGGCUUUCACCAAUUGUGAGUAUCACUGCAAUAUUUGAUUCUCCACAACAAAGACUAUAUGGCAGAUGAAAAAUCUGGAGAUAUCAACCAACCUACUUAUGUGACGAACAUCAAUCUUCAAACAAAUCUCAGAAUUUCUAUUCCUUAAAAAUAAUUAUGUAGGAAGAGACUUGAAUGAAGAAUUUGUAAUUCCACAAAACAAAGCAAGAGUUCUCAAGUUACCUAUCACAGAAUCACUGAAUGACUUGGGUUGGAAAGGCCCUUCCUCCUCAACCCCCUGAAAGAUCAUUAAGUUCCAACCCCCCCCUGCAACAGACAAGGCCAUCAAUCUCCAGAUUUGGUACUAAGUCAGGUAGCCCAGGGCCCCAUCCAUCCUGCUCUUGAAAACCUCCAGGGACAGGGCAUCCACAACCUCUCUAGGCAGCCUGUUCCAGCACCUCACCACUCUCUUGAUAAAAAACUUCCCCUUGACAUCAAAUCUAAACCAUCCCUCCUUAAGCUUGAACCACUCCCCCUUGUCCUAUCACCAUUAACUAUCAUUCUAACCUAACUGCUCAAAGACACUUUGUUACCAUUCCCUUGUUUGUACCUUGCCAGACACCCAUCCUACAGCAAAAGGCACAGCAGCAUGCUACUCAAAGAGCUAUGUAUUUUAACCAGUUUUCAAACUCCACCUGACCACAUUGAACUUUUUGCUGCUAUGAAUCCCACUGAACAAGUUAAUAUUAUUUCCCUUUGAGAUACAAAGGAUGAGAACUCAGCAUUUUAAAACUCUGACCCUAUCUCAUUCGUUACUCCUUUCAAAAAGAGCAAGUCCUGACUGGAAGUUUGGAGAGGAAAAAGUGGUCACAUCUGACCCAAUGCUGAACUUCAUUUUAACAUAUGGAACUGGUGUUCUCAUAUCCCAGCCACAUUACUUUUAGACUUAAACCUCAAAGCAAGAGAAAAAAAAUACCUAAAAAUGAGAGCUGAAAGCAAAAUGCUGUAUUCACACAGAGAAGAUACAGAAGAAUAUCAAAGCUGUAAGAUUUUGCUUGCUGACUUUAAUCUUAACUUGCCUAGAAGUCAAGAUCUAACAACGUGUGUAUGAACUCUGCAUAUACAGAGAAUGUUAGCAACACUAUUGACACUGCUUGGCGAAGACUGCAAAGCCAACUGAAGUUGUUAAUUCAGUAACUGACCUUUAUUCUUUUCAGGAUCUGCAGCUAUAUCAGUGAAAUUUGGACACAAGGUAUCAGGAUACUGAGGAAUGCUAUUCAUGUCUCUGCUAAACGAAAAGGAAAUGGAAUUUCUUAAAUCAAGACACUCUUACGUUCAUAUUCCAAAGUAUUUCAAAAGAAAGAUAUGCAGAUGAAAAAAAUAUUCUAGAGAAUACAACUCUUGCUAUUGCUUUCCCUGUUUUUCCCUGUUUUUCUCCUUAUUUGAAUUACCACUGCAUCAGCUACUAAUUAAGCAUACAAAACAAAUACAUCUUAAUAAUCUCACUUAUCCAAGCAUCAAACUAUUGCAAAUUAAUUUAACAGCUCUUCUCUUGAAAUUGAAAAACAAGCUAUAUUCCAUUAAGAUGAAUAAGAUCUCUCAUGAUGUUUCAGUGCUCCCAACAACUUUCAGACAAGUUGACUUCUAUGUGUAUGAAGACACAUAGGCACACAUGAACAUCAAUUUUGUAUUCAUCGAAUGCCAUCAAAGAAAUGACUUGUGAGUGGAAAGGGAGCAUUUGUAAGCACCAGAAACCCAGAGGAAAAGGAUUAAAUUAUUUUUGCUGGUGAAAAUUAUGAAUGACAUAGACAGUUAUGAAUGAGAAGUGAAAUAAGGAUUCACAGUGAUAAGAAUUGUAGACGCUAUCUCUACUAUAGUGAAUAAGUAGAAAGGAAAGAAGGGGAGGGGGAAAUAAAUUUCCUAGGAGAGCAUUACUCUCAUUAAAAGAAUAACAUCAACUUGAAAGUCUCACUUUUUUUUUUUUUUUUUAACAAUUUUUAAUUUAAUAUAACUAAGGGUGGAUAGAAAUGUAGCAGGUUGCUAAGAUCUGGAAGAAAUCAGUGGGGAAAAAUAAUUUCCUUUACUCUCAAAUUUUGUUUUCCAUAUACCCCCGCACAAUCCUUUUUCUGUCUCAACUGCACAGAUCUUUCCACAUACUGAGAAAGAUUCUUCUUCCAAGUAGAAAGUGCAAUUAGAUGAUAAAACAUAAUAAACCAAAUAUAAUAAAACAAGAGGUAUAAUUCACCAAAAUGAGACAAGGUUUCAAGUUGGUGGAGUUUCUUUUCAUGUGUUGCAGGCUUACAUUCAAAUUUUUUACCUGGUAUUGCAGAUGUUAUGAGACAGAUUUAAAGUGAUAGGAGUUUCAGAUGGAAAAUCGUUUUGUGAAAUAUUCUCCCCUAAAGAAAAGAAUGACUGUAAAAAUCAAAGAUCCUAAAAAAAGAAGUAUGCACAGAAUAUUUAUACACACAUACUGAAUCAUCAAUGGUGUUAACAAAGUUUCUCCUCAGUAACUGGUAGUAUCACUAACUGCAUUAAUAUGCAAAGUGUUUGAUUUAUUUACCACUUGAUCUUAAAUGUAUUUUGACUUCAGUAAUUAGCAACACUCUAAAUGUUAAGAGAUUCCUUGUUACUAUCAAAUUUAUUCUUAAUUUGAUAUGACUUCUAAAGAAGUAAUAAAAUCUGACAAUAAAGUAACAUGCCCACAAAUCAUUAUCCAUCAUAUCACAGGUUCAGACUCGUCACAUAGCAUCCUUGCUAACAUAAGAAUGUGACACAUUAUGCACACACAGAUGUACAUAUAAACACAGGCACAUUUUUUAAUUCUCCAAAACCAGUUCUUUCAGGUAUUCAAGGCUGUUUGUACUUGUCUCACUUUUAAAACAUUUACUUCUAUCACUACAUCAAUUGGCCAGCAAUGGUAGUAACUGAGUCUUGGGCUUUCAACUAUUUUAAUGGUAUUCAGGCAUUCAAAAAAGAUGCAGUAAUGAACCACAUUUGCCACUUCUCAUAUCCCUCAAGUGUAUCAAGUGGCCUCCUGGUUCCUUCUACCUCAAAUACAGUUAUCCAAUUCCACCAUGCCGAGAUCCAUUCUGAACUGCUUGCACACAGUUGUCAUUUGUACGAUUUCUUAAACAAUAAGGGGAUACUUCUUUUUUUUUUUAAUUAACGUGAUAGAACAUUCAAAAGACAAAAACUUUUGACUAGAGACUCAUUUCUUCCAUCUUUCCUUGAAAAUAAAACAUGCAGCUCCUUAGUGCAGAGCCUGACACUUCCUUUGUAACCUUCUAACACUGUCUCUAUCUAUAAAACUUGUGAUACCAAGUUAUUUAUUAAAUGUGUCCCGCUGUGUCUGAGAGGUGCUCUCUCUUACAAAAAGGCAAGUUACAUUCCAUGCCAUGGCAGCUCUACAUUCAGCAGGAAGGCUGAAACUCUCCCACUAUUUGCAGAUGUAUAUGAUGUUGACAGAACUUACGGGAUGGAAGAAAAUGCCUGGCAGUAAUCAUGGGCUUUUUAUCUCCAUCAGAACUGCUGGUACUGCUCCAGCUACCCCAGCUCCCACGACUGGCACGAACACUUCCUGAUGAACUUCCACAAUCUGAGCUUGAAUCAGAGCAAAACUUCUCCAAACAAUUCUUUUUGGACCACUGAUAAAAGCUUUCUAAAGAAAUAAUAAAUAAAAUAAAAGUUACCUGAAAUAUGUA
This is a long non-coding RNA of Gallus gallus (chicken), 9354 nucleotides long. RefSeq lists it as uncharacterized. The record is from RefSeq and is a predicted model, not a curated record. The transcript has 3 exons. NCBI's taxonomy places the organism in Eukaryota, Metazoa, Chordata, Aves, Galliformes, Phasianidae.